AACGAACGCUGGCGGCAUGCCUAACACAUGCAAGUCGAACGAGACCUUCGGGUCUAGUGGCGCACGGGUGCGUAACGCGUGGGAACCUGCCCUUAGGUUCGGAAUAACUCCCCGAAAGGGGUGUUAAUACCGGAUAAUGUCUUCGGACCAAAGAUUUAUCGCCUUUGGAUGGGCCCGCGUUGGAUUAGCUAGUUGGUAGGGUAAAAGCCUACCGAGGCGACGAUCCAUAGCUGGUCUGAGAGGAUGAUCAGCCACACUGGGACUGAGACACGGCCCAGACUCCUACGGGAGGCAGCAGUGGGGAAUAUUGGACAAUGGGCGAAAGCCUGAUCCAGCAAUGCCGCGUGAGUGAUGAAGGCCUUAGGGUUGUAAAGCUCUUUUACCCGGGAUGAUAAUGACAGUACCGGGAGAAUAAGCUCCGGCUAACUCCGUG
This 433-nucleotide ribosomal RNA is filed under the name uncultured bacterium. RNAcentral's name for it is "partial 16S ribosomal RNA". It matches the Rfam family "Bacterial small subunit ribosomal RNA", at positions 29 to 507 of the family's 1533-position model. The record is from RNAcentral.